GGGAGUGUGCAGUUGUGGUCGAUAGUGGGCAGGUGUGGGCGGGAGUGAGCAGGAGUGGGCAGGUGUGGGCGGGAGUGGGCAGGUGUGAGCGGGAGUGAGCAGGAGUGGUCAGGUUUGGGCGGGAGUGGGCACAUGUGGGUGGGAGUGGGCAGUUGUGGUCAGGUGUGAGCAGGAGUGAGCAGGUGUGAACGGGAGUUGGCAGGUGUGAGCGGUAGUGGGCAGGUGUCGGUGGAAGUGUGCAGGUGUGAGCAAGAGUGGGCAAGUGUGCGUGGGAGUGUGCAGGUGUGAGCGGGAGUGCGCAGGUCUGUGUGGGUGUGUGCGGGUGUGGGUGGGAGUGUGCAGGUGUGAGCGGGAGUGUGCAGGUGUGAGCGGGAGUGUGCAGUUGUGAGCAGCAUGUGCAGGUGUGUGGGAGUGUGCAGGUGUGGGUGGCAGUGUGCAGGUGU
Balaenoptera musculus (blue whale) is the source of this 443-nucleotide long non-coding RNA. RefSeq lists it as uncharacterized. The record is from RefSeq and is a predicted model, not a curated record. Lineage: Eukaryota; Metazoa; Chordata; Mammalia; Artiodactyla; Balaenopteridae. The transcript is spliced from 3 exons.